UACGUAGGUGGCAAGCGUUGUCCGGAUUUACUGGGCGUAAAGAGCGCGCAGGCGGUUGGAUAAGUCGAAUGUGAAAGCCCCCGGCUUAACUGGGGAGGGUCAUUCGAUACUGUUUGACUUGAAGGCAGGAGAGGGCAGCAGAAUUCCCGGUGUAGUGGUGAAAUGCGUAGAUAUCGGGAGGAAUACCAGUGGCGAAGGCGGCUGCCUGGCCUGUUCUUGACGCUGAGGCGCGAAAGCUAGGGGAGCAAACGGG
This 253-nucleotide ribosomal RNA is filed under the name uncultured bacterium. RNAcentral's name for it is "partial 16S ribosomal RNA". It matches the Rfam family "Bacterial small subunit ribosomal RNA", at positions 524 to 776 of the family's 1533-position model. The record is from RNAcentral.